RNAcentral lists this small nuclear RNA (113 nucleotides) under Glycine max (soybean). RNAcentral's name for it is "snRNA U1". It matches the Rfam family "U1 spliceosomal RNA". Rfam says of the family: U1 is a small nuclear RNA (snRNA) component of the spliceosome (involved in pre-mRNA splicing). Its 5' end forms complementary base pairs with the 5' splice junction, thus defining the 5' donor site of an intron. The record is from RNAcentral. Lineage: Eukaryota; Viridiplantae; Streptophyta; Magnoliopsida; Fabales; Fabaceae.
UUAAUUACCUGGAUGGAGUAAAUGGGUGAUCAUGAAGGGCUGUGGCUUAAGUUGGUGAGAGAGCCUACAUCAUAGUUUGUGGUAGUGGGGACUUGCGUAUGAGCAGCCCCCUU